RNAcentral lists this ribosomal RNA (174 nucleotides) under uncultured Bacillota bacterium. RNAcentral describes it as "uncultured Firmicutes bacterium partial 16S ribosomal RNA". It matches the Rfam family "Bacterial small subunit ribosomal RNA", at positions 159 to 333 of the family's 1533-position model. Lineage: Bacteria; Bacillati; Bacillota. The record is from RNAcentral.
GUUGCUAAUACCGCAUAAGCGCACGAGAGGACAUCCUCUUGUGUGAAAAACUCCGGUGGUACAGGAUGGGCCCGCGUCUGAUUAGCUGGUUGGCAGGGUAACGGCCUACCAAGGCGACGAUCAGUAGCCGACCUGAGAGGGUGAUCGGCCACAUUGGAACUGAGACACGGUCCA